RNAcentral lists this signal recognition particle RNA (299 nucleotides) under Aotus nancymaae (Ma's night monkey). Its description in RNAcentral is "Metazoan signal recognition particle RNA (ENSANAG00000008574.1)". It matches the Rfam family "Metazoan signal recognition particle RNA". Rfam says of the family: The signal recognition particle (SRP) is a universally conserved ribonucleoprotein. It is involved in the co-translational targeting of proteins to membranes. The eukaryotic SRP consists of a 300-nucleotide 7S RNA and six proteins: SRPs 72, 68, 54, 19, 14, and 9. Lineage: Eukaryota; Metazoa; Chordata; Mammalia; Primates; Aotidae. The record is from RNAcentral.
GCCAGGCACAGUGGUGUGUGCCUGUAGUCCUAGCUACUUGGGAGGCUGAGGUGGGAGGAUCACUUGAGCCCAGGAGUUCUGGGCUGUAGUGCGCUAUGCUGAUCGGGUGUCCACACUAAGUUAGGCAUUAAUAUGGUGACCUCCCGGGAGCGGGGGACCACCAGGUUGCCUAAGGAGGGGUGAACCGGCCCAGGUCGGAAACAGAGCAGGUCAAAACUCCCGUGCUGAUCAGUAGUGGGAUCGUGCCUGUGAAUAGCCACUGUACUGCAGCCUGGGCAACAUAGCAAGACCCCAUCUCA